UCAACCCUCAAGACUACUUUGCGGUGGUUUUGGUGUUGGACGGUUUGGUUGAGCGCUCGCUUAAACCCCUCCUAAAGACAAUGACGGCGGACUUGUGGAACCCCCGGUACACUGAGCUUCUUAACUGAGCAUGUAUCGGAUUAAGGGUGCGCGAGCCCCGGUCUACUCCCUUGAAUGGGAAAAUCUUUCUCAA
This 193-nucleotide unclassified non-coding RNA is filed under the name Herpotrichiellaceae sp. RNAcentral's name for it is "partial internal transcribed spacer 2". Lineage: Eukaryota; Fungi; Ascomycota; Eurotiomycetes; Chaetothyriales; Herpotrichiellaceae. The record is from RNAcentral. RNAcentral also lists the same sequence under 1 other name.